This 28-nucleotide non-coding RNA is filed under the name Mus musculus (house mouse). Lineage: Eukaryota; Metazoa; Chordata; Mammalia; Rodentia; Muridae. The record is from RNAcentral.
UGGUGAAAGAUAGCUGGUUUCUAGCCUU